UGUGCUGGCAGGUGCACGGGCACGUGAAAGUCGGCGGGGACCUCGUGGAACCCCAUGGCAUCAAGCUCGGCGACAAUGUGCAGCUCCCAUCCCAUCAAUGCCACGGGCAUGGGCGCUGGCACAGUCGGGGCGACGGGAGCCGGAACGGGAGCGGGGACAGGCGCGGCAUCUUCCCGCAAGGCCGGUUCAAGCUCGUCCCAAAGCGCCUUAUGUUCUUGAGACUCCGGCUGGGUGUCUUCCUCAGGAAACUGGAAUACUAAAGGUAGACCAUCAUGAUGCGGCAUGGCGUAUGGUUAGGUCAGGCUGGUUGGAGGUAGACGACAGGAGAAUCGGAGGGGAAGACAGAAGAUUGUAGCGAUACCGGGUAGUGCGGGGUUGGUUUUAAACUGCGGCGCCGAUGACAUUAAAAGUGGGAGCAGUUGGGACGAAGGUGGGCGGCGGAGCCUGGUCAAACGGCUCGCCUCCCGGUGAGCCUGCGCAGCGGUCUGCUCGCACGCCUCCCGUCGACUCACACGCUUGCUCGGACGACACCUGCCGAUGAGAAGCGGGACUCGUGGUGGCACGUAAAUGCCCACGAUUUCAAUAGUGAAAGCGUCCGCCUUAACGUGAUAGGUCUUUGUUCCAAAAUAACUUGGCUCUUCAUUUGUGCAACUUCCCAUAAGCAGCUUGUCCCAAAUUGAAAAAAUAAUUACGUAGGAAUACUUGUGCCAUAUUACGUGACCAUGCUCAGUUUCACGAAUUUCUGGUCACUUUUGGAUUUUCUGAAAUUUAAAAUCCAGGAUUCGAAACAAUAUCAUAACCUGCAUCAUGCAAUAAAUUUUCAAGCGAUACAUCUUUCCUGUUGUAUUUCUUAAGAAAGGAUUUGGUCAAACAUUUUGCUUAGUUAGACUUCAGACAAGUUAUAUUUAAAAGGAUAAUCCCUCCGUACCAGUGCAUUGCCUAAUAUAUUAACUCAAGUACUAGUAGGCACGAACAAACGGGCUCAAUUCUGUGCUCAUCCUGGUGUAGUAGUAGUACUAGGCAAUGCAGUUGACCGGUGACCUUGGUAGCGGCGACCAAGGGAAUUGAACCGUGCUCGGCACGGUAGGUAACGUUGUCUAGUUACUAAAGCAUCCCUCCAUUGUUCAUCGGUAGUCAUUAUGGACCGGGGACAUGAGGAGAAUUUCCUAGGGCUGGAAUUCUGGCCGCCAGAUAUUUUGACUCGAAUCGCAGAGGCUCGACUGGUUGGGGUUGGCUUAAUGUGCGUACCACGCACGCCACCAGAAGGACACGAGCCCAUUUUUUUUGAGGACCAACACGAGCCAAGGUCUGGCUAGUACACCGUUGGGUCCUACCAUUAGAGAAUACGAAAGGAUCCCUAAAAUAAAGAAUACGAAAGGAAUCUUUUAAAUUCGAAUGAAUCUAUGUGUAUUACAAUGCCCGUAUUUUCCUUGCAAAUAGUAAUCUCAAUGUGGUAAUUGAAUUAUGACGAGUUCUUGAAUUAGAGUGAGUUUGUGAUAUAGUGAUCUCAACGUGUAUUUCACAUUUCAUGGUAUCCCUAGUAAGUUUUUCAUUGCAAAUUUAAAUUUAAAAGAUGAACCGUAUGGUGGUGAGAAAACUUUGUAUGUAUCAAGCAUACACCACACACACACACACACGAACACACACGAACACAACAGCAAUCCAAUAAGUAUAGUGCAUCUAUUUUUCCAAACCAUGCAUGUAUGACACGAAUUCAGAAAUACUCCUUCUGUUCCUAAAUAUUAGUCUUUUAGAGAUUUCAACAAGUGACUACAUACGGAGCAAAAUGAGUGAAUCUACACUCUAAAAUAUGUCUAUAUAUAUCCGUAUGUGGCAGUCCAUUUGAAAUCUCUAAAAAGACUAAUAUUUAGGAAUGAAGAGAGUAAAAUGUAAGACAUGCAUGGUCCUCAAUUCAAUAUUUAAAAUGAACAGGAAACUGAAACAUGAAUAAUAAGUCUAGUAUUAAAGUACAUGCAAAUGUUGUGCUUAGGCGGAGCUAUGUAGAUUGUCGGGAGUUAACCCCUCGACCAUAGAUAAAAUUGUGAAGCUCUGUUUAGGAUUGUUUAGAUUAUAUUUUUCCCCACCCUACCAAACACCGAUUGGUUGUGCACCCCCUCCUCCCCGGUCGAAUAUCAUGUGCCCCCACACCUUAGAUGCUAUAUGUUGAUACGAGUUGCUUGGAGCUUGUUGAUCUGAAAUAUAGCAACUCACAUGAUGUCUUAAUAUUUUUACAGGAAACCUUAAUGAGUUUGAGAAUUGCACACAAUUUGUACAAAAACUACUCAGAUGCCCUUGGAUCCCAUAUCCAACAACCUCGAAGCUCGUAUCACCGUAGCAUCUAAGAUGAAGGAGAACAUCAUAUUCUCCUAUAUGUAAGAAUAUCAUGUGCUACCACACCUUAGAAGCUUUGGUGAUACAAGCUCUUCAGAGUCGUUGGAUUUGUGACCCAACAACUCCUCGGUGGUUCGAAUAUUUUUUUGCAGAAAAGCACCCAAAGAGUUCGGCCACUGCUUACAAGCACAAAGACUGCUCAUAUGCCAUUGGAUCUCAGAUCAAACGACCUCGAAGCUCGUAUCACCGUACCAUCCAAGCUGCGGAGCACCUGAUGUUUUCUCACACGGGAGAAUAUGAGGUGCUCCUACAUCGUAGAUUCUAUGGUGAUACGAGUUCACGGAGAUCUGACGGCUCACAGUAGGAGGUUUGAAUGUUUUUGCAAUAUACGCCUGAGAGAGUUUGGGAAUUGCGCAGAAAGUACAAGUACUACGCAUGUGGCAUCUGAUCACAGAUCAUACGACCUAGAUGCUCGUAUCACCGUAGCGGCUAAUUAAGCUACGGGGAGCACCUAAUAUGAGCAACGGGGAGCCGUUGGAUCCAAGAUGCAGCGGCACACACGAGGCCUGAAUGUUUUAUUUGCAAAGAAACCUUGGAGAGUUUGGAAAUUGCACAUAAUUACAAAGACUACUCCCAAGCCAUUGGAUCUCAGUUCCAACAAUGUAAAAACUCGUAUCACCAUAGCAUCUAAGCUGCGGGGUGGAUGUGAUAUUCUAUGUCGCUGUCAUUUUUGUUCGUAAACUUGCCAAAUACGUGUAACUCGUGCCGUUACUUGUCUAACUGCGCAAAGUGUUUAUUCAAAAAAACAUCUUACACUGAAAUAUCGGAACAACACACGGGGGUCCCACUUGUCAUUGAUCAAAUUUGAACCUAAAACUAACAAAUAUGAAAGAUGAGAGUCGAGCUGGCAACCUGGACUACAAAGCGUAAGUCGAUAGCCUAAAACAAUAACGGUUGUUGGCUUUGUCCCAUAACUUGAUUUUAUACAGUAUUACGUUGAGUAGAGUAGAGGGACUGCCUCGUCAACACGUGCAUGACCAUUGACUCACUUACUGGUGGGUCCCAGGUCUGUGAUCUCUCUCUCCUCUCCAUCGUCUAACCUUUAGACGCACGGGCACACACGAGGAGCGGCACUAGCUUGCUGUGAUGUUAUUAUAACUAAAAAAAUCUUGGAAAAUAGAAGAAUCGCCUAGAACAAGAGACGUUGUGGCUGGUCGAGACGGAGCUAACCACACCUAUCCUCUAUGCCACGUUGGCAUGAUGAAGCUGUGUGGCUAGUGGGGUGUUUUCGACCGACUGGCUGGGUCCCGAGGUCAAACCGUAGGUACUACUACAUCUAAUACACUAUAUUUUUACACGCACAUUUUUCCUCCGUGCCGAGAUGUGGCACACCCUACCGCGCGGUUUCGGGGUCCUCCCGGGUGGUGCACGCAUAUAUUCUUCCUUGCCGAGACGUGGGACGCCCUAUCGUGCGUUUUUUGGCUCCUCCUCGGUCGUAGCGCUGAAGCAAGUAAAUGAGUCGUCAAAUCAUGAAACACCACCUUUCCCGUCGAGUACAUCAGUGAAGCACGGUGGCUAGCUUGUUGGGCUAGUGCGACCGAUUAGCUAGGCUGCUGCCACAUUUGUUUUUUCACCCCUUUUUUAUCUCCUUGCCGGCAGGUAAAUUUAAAUAUCCACCGCGGUGUUGCUCUAGUCUUUGGGUGCGGCAGGCGCGAUAGGAUUUUUAAUUUUUGAUUGACGGGAGCAGGCACGGCAGUAAUUAGUCACUAUGACUCCGCCUGUAAAACCCACUGCUCCCUGAUGUGAGAAGUCAUCGACUGGUGUUUUCCCAUGGUGAAAACCAAAAGAUUCCCCGCUCCUCGGCUGGCUCCCUCCGCCUUCCCGUAGAUUGCAUUGCCUUUCAGCCGUUUCGCCCCCUUUGCUUCCUCUCCCAAUUGCUUCUACCUGGUGCCAUGGCGGCGCAGAAGAUUGCAUGGGCGUUUAGUGACGAAGAGACAAAAAAGCAUUUCGUCGAUAAAGAUGAGUGCUUUCGAUCGGCUUGUUGCACUAAAGCUGCGAGGUUCUUUUUUGAAACCCGAAAAUAGAUGCACGUGGGCUCUUGACUGAGGCAGCAUGAGGUUGGAGGCUCAUGUACUUUCCUUUUUGACAGAGUAGAAUGACGUGGCACAUAGGUUUCCUAAUAUAGAGGGUAUGCUCGAGCACUGCAUCUUGCGUCUGGGCGCUGCCUAUCCAAGUCCAUAAAUAAUUGCAAGAAAAAAUUCCUAAGGGGGAAUAGGGUGCGUUUUGCAAAUCUAUGUAUCAAAAGAAGAAAAUAAGGUCGCAUAGUUGAAUAGUCACAAAAUAAAAAGGCAUUAUAAUAAUUUAUUAUACCUUCUCCAAAUGGGCAAGAUGCAGCAAGAAGGAAAAAAUAUGUACAAAUGAUAAACUUGCGGCAAUUAGCAUCAAUAUGUCAAACUUAACAGAGAAAAAGAAACACAUAUAUGUACUGCAUGAGAUAACUUACUUGGCCACAUCGGUGAAGAAAAUGUGAGGUAAAAAUCCUAACACGUGUAGAUAUUGAAUUCCGAUGCUUCUAUAUUUAUCAUAAACUUUGCAUAGGCAUAUCAAUCGAUGCAUUGGUGUUGCAGCUCUUACAUGAUAAUUAGUUGGGAAGAACACCUGUAUAUUGACCUGUUCAAUGAAGCAGUUUACAAACUUGUAUACUAUUAUAGAAACUGAUCGAAAUAUGCCCUAGAGGCAAUAAUAGAGUUGUUAUUAUUAGAUUUCCUUAUUCAUGAUAAGGUUUAUUAUUCAUGCUAGAAUUGUAUCGAACAGAAACUUAAAUACAUGUGUGGAUAUAUAAACAAAUACUAUGUCCCUAGUGAGCCACUUCUAGACUAGCUCGUUGAUCAAAAGAUGGUUAAGGUUUCCUAACCAUAGACAUGAGUUGUCAUUUGAUAACGGGAUCUCAUCAUUAGGACAAUGAUGUAUGGACAAGACCCAACUGUUAGCAUAGCAUAUGAUCGUUCAGUUUAUUGCUACUGCUUCUUAAUGUCAAAUACAUAUUCCUUCGACCAUGAGAUCAUGCAACUCCCGGAUACCGGAGGAAUACCUUGUGUGUUAUCAAACAUCAUAACGUAACUGGGUGAUCAUAAAGAUGCUCUACAGGUAUCUCCGAAGGUGUCUGUUGAGUCGGCAUUGAUCGAGACUAGGAUUUGUCACUUCGUAUGACGGAGAGGUAUCUCUGGGCCCUCUCGGUAAUAAAACAUCACAAGAAGUUUGCAAGCAAAGUGACUAAGGAGUUAGUUACAUGAUGAUAUAUUACGGAAUGAUAUGUCUCCAACAUAUCUAUAAUAUUUGAUUAUUCCAUGGUAUUAUAUUAUCUAUCUUGGAUGUUUCAUAUGCCUUUCUAUGCUAUUUUAUAUGAUUUUUGGGACUAACCUAUUAACCUAGAGUCGAGUGCUAGUUUCUGUUUUUUCCUUAUUUUUGAGUUUCAAAGAAAAGGAAUAUCAAACGGAGUCCAAAUGAGCUGAAAAUUUACAGUGAUUUUUAUGGACCAGAAGAAGCCCCCGAAGCAAAAGAGUUGGGCUAGAAGAGCCACGGGGCCUCCACAAGGGUGGAGGGUGCCCCCCUAGGGUGUGCCCCCUAACUUGUCGUCACCUCGUGGACCCCCUGACUUGUUCCCGAUGCCAAAAAUUCCUAUAAAUAUAGGAACCCCCAGAAAUAAACCUAUACCGGGGGUUCCACGCCACAAGCCUCUAUAGCCACGAAAAACCAAUUGAGAUCCCGUUCCGGCACCCCGCCUGUCGGUGGAAACGACACCUAUGGGAUCACGAGGAAUCCCUUCUACGGUUGGCGGGCGCGGGGCUGUGGAAAGAGCGGGUUUGAGGGAUCAACACGAGAGAUUUAUCCAGGUUCGGGCCGCAAGCGAUGCGUAAUACCCUACUCCUGCUAGCUUGUGUUUAUCUGGUGUUCUUGGACUAGCUACAAAGCGUGCCGGGUCCAAAAAGUCUGAAUCCUCUCUUAGUACACCGCGAGCCUCCUUUUAUAGUCAAAAGGGGCUGCCACAGUGGCACACAGGAGGUGGAAAGUUGUACAGUGGUCGAGUUUAUCGCCUGACAUCACAGGACAAAAUGCAUUAAAUGCGCUACUUAGGUGUCCUCUUGCUUUAUCGGGGGCGGUAACGAAGCCAGUCCCGUCCGUCGCCGCCUCCCCUCGCUCCGACGCGCGUCCAGGCUGACAGGCGCGCAGCGCCAUGCUGGCUGACUGGCUGCUGAGUUGGCGCGGUGGCAGAGUCUUCACGAAGAUCUACAUGCCACCACGCACGUGCUUGCUGAGUUGGCCUGGAAGCUGCACGUCGCCAUGUAGGGGCUUGCCUUGUUGGCGGGUUGAUCGCUAUGUUGGAAUGGCGGUGGAGCCUUGGCAGGUGGGGGCCUGGCUGCAGCCCCGCAGAUGUCCCUGGCAAGGGCCUUGCCGAGGCCUCGUAGGUGUCCCCGACAAGGUUCUUGCCGGGGGUCUCCGUCUUCUGGUCCUCAUCUAGCAUCGUAUGUUGGUCUUCACAAAGAUCUGCAUGCCACCAUGGAGGUGCCUCCUGAGCCUUGGUUACAAUGUGGUUGAGGACGUUGGAACUCUCAGGCUCAAGGGUGGCGGCUCCGCUAGUGUUGGGCAGGUUGCCCCGGCAAGAGGCCGCCCCGGCAAGGACCUUGACGGGGGAGUUUCACCUCGCCCCUCAGCUCUUCAUGCUUCUGGUCUUGAGUAUGCCUCUGGUAAUCUUUGCUUCUUCUGCCCCGCCAAGCAUGGCCACGGGCGUGGGGCUGCGACUGCCCACGCACGAGUAAAGGGGUACAAAAAGGGGCCCCUACUUUUGUACACCGACAGGAGCCCCCGGGCCUGGUCCACAUAUAAGCGUGGGGCGUUAUUGGGCCAGGCCCAGAACAGUGCGCGGGCGCGCGCGCGGCAGAGUUUUUACUGUAGUAACUCCCUCGCUCGUUGCGCUUCCCCAUGACCCGCGUUGAAUGCGUGACGUGGGGGUCGUGCAUGGGGCGGUUGCUGCACGCAUGCGUCACAUCGUGGUAAAGAGGCGGCUCGCGCCUUCCCCAUAAAAAGGAAAAACCGCAGGCGCGCUACCAUUUACCCUCUGUGCCUUUUUCAAUCUCGGAACUGCCGUUCCCCUCUUCUUCCUCGGGCGAAAGAUUCAAAGCUCUCGCCUCUGCUCGCCGCCGCUGCGCCCCCAUUGCUCUUGAUCCUUCGCCCUCUCCCAGCCGCCAUGGCACCCAAAACCAGCAAGGGCAAGGGAGCGGCCAAGGACGCCGGGGAGAAGGAGGCGCUGGAGUGCGAGUUGGCGGUGCGGCGGAUGCAGCUCGCCUACUUCCCUUCGACGGUCGAUGUGGUCCACCUCAGGAACUACUUCUUGCCCCUGUGGGGGAGGAAGACGACGGGGCACUCUGCCUCGCGCGUCGUCCCCGCCGAUUUCACCAAGGCUGGCCCAAAUCAGUACCCCUUCUUCGUCGAUUUCUUCUCCUGCGGGCUCUGCCCCCUUUCUCUGACUUCUUCAACGACGUCAUGCACAUCUACAGCUUCCAUCUUAUGGAUCUUACGCCGAAUGCCCUGACGUGCAUGGCUUUCUUUGCCCAUCUCUGCGAGGGCUUUGCCGGGGUGCUCCCUAGCACGACGCUCUUUCGCCACUACUUCUCCUCUCGCCUCCAGCCAGGGGGCGCCAUCUCCGGCUGCAUCACCUGGAUCCCGAGGACCCAGGAGAAGGGCAUGUAUCCGGAGGGUGCCCAGAAGGAGAGGUGGGAGGAGUGGCGGAGCCAGUGGUGCUGGAUCGAGGAAAAAGAUCCGCAGGAGUUCUGCUGAGUUCGUCAGAGCCCGCCAACCCGCCGCAGGGACUAGAGCGACCUCGAUGCCAACGACGAGAAACUCGGUCGCCACCACCAGGAUCCAUCGCCUCACCACGGUCGGGCUCACCCUCGAGAUGAUCGGGGCCGACUUCAUCCGUUGCCGAAUCGCCCCGCUGCACAACAAGGGGAGGCCGGCCUGGGAUUUCAGGAACGCGGCCGACAUCAUGAGGCUCCGCCCUGGCCUGAAGCACAACUUCACGGUGAUGGGGCACGCCCAUUUCUGUCAAAGGCUCUUUCAGCUCGACUGGACGGCGACGGCAGGGCUGAGAGGACUGGCAGGGCCGCGAAUGCCGGCAAGGCCGUCAAGGGGCCCCUGUUUGGGUUGCUGGCGGGAGUGGUCCCGCUGAGAACAACUCUCGCCAGUCCACCAUCAUCGCCAUGAUGCCGGACUUCAAUGCGCAUGGCCUUGACCCGGCCUGGGCCGAGCCGCCAGUGGAGAAAGUGCAGGAAUUUUUCGACACUUAGUCAGAGAGCUAUGUCCGUGACGAGCCGUUGCUCAUCCAGGACACCACCAAGGCGGAGCUGGACUACAUCGCCACCAGGGCGGCGGAGGCGGCGCUCGCCAGGGAGGCCGGCAGCGUUGGUGCCAUGGAGGACGAGGCUGACGCGGCCGUGGAGGAGAAGCCCCCCUUGUUGAAGACGCGGGCGACGAGUCGUCCGAAGAGGAGGUCGAGGCAAACGACCCCCCGGCCGUGGGGAGGCAGCGCGUCCUGCGGCGGGCCAGCUCUGGCGAGCCGGUUUGGCCCGGCAGGACCACGCUGUGGCAGCCGGCCCAGGAGCAGCUCGUGUGCCAGACGAGGGCGAUGAAGGCCGUGGCAGCGAAGAAGGCGGUGAAGGCCGCGGUGGUGAAGAGGACAGCGACUCCUUCCUCCUCGUACAAGCGGCACCGAACCCCAUCCCCUUCUCCUCCUCCUUCAGACAGCACCUUGGAGGCCGAGUUUGACCUCGGAUCUUUUAGCCCGGCGAGGAAGGCGAAGCUAGUGGAGGACGAGUAAGUAUUUUGCCCCCCACAUCAUCUCCUGACCUUACUCUUGUGUUAUCUUGCUUUGAUUUUAUGUUAUCUUCACAGGGACAUGGAGACGCUGGCCCAGAGGGUGGUGAAGAGGGCCAAGGCCUCAACGGGCGACAAGCCCCCGUCGGGUACUUCGCGUACGCCGUUGCUGGUGGAGUGCAGCCCGGAAAACAGCCCCCGACGUAGCCCCCGCUUCAGCCCCCAGUGUGAGUCCAUCACUCACUCCUUCACUGAUGAGCAUUGGGGUGUCAAUUCUUGAUGCUGACCUUGCUGGGUUUGCAGGAGGAGAACGGCAGCAGGAGGAUCCGCCAAGGGCCACUCCCAACACGCCGCCCCGUCAACCACACCGCCCUGAGGGGCGUCCCCGGCAAGGGCAUCCACCACCAAGCCCACACAUAUGGAGGAGGAGGAGGCGAGCUUGGGUGCCGGUGGCUCUGCCCUGGCAACGAAUGCUGGCGGGGAGGGCGCCACUUCUUCCCAGCCUGGUGCGGGUAGGUUAUUCACUUCUCGUCCCUGUUCUUUUCUCUUCUUUUUAAACCUUGAUCGUGGCCCCGGCUCAUUCCUCUUCUUGGUAUCCAGACCCUUCCUCGGGGGACCGGGAGGACAUUGACACCGUCAUCGAGGAGGGCGCCAGGGACUCCGAGGCCGAGGCCGACAAGAUCACCGCCGAGGAAGCCGCCAAGGCCGCCGCUGAGGAUGCCGCCUAGGGGCCUACCGGGGAGGCCGACAAGGCCGCUGCAGAGGAGGGGGUGGUUGACAACCAGCCUUCCUCCUUUGUUGCCUCUGGCUCGGGCAAGUACUUGAAGGUGAGCGACGACCUUUUCGUCCACCUCCCAGGAAUGGUGAGCACCAGGGCGCCAACCGAGGGGGAGGUGUUUGACGACUAGGCGCUCGCCUCCGCCGGGCUUCAGGUUGUUGACGAAUCGAGCGUCGGCGGUGGCAGUUCCCAAGAGGAGCAGCUUCUUCGGGCCAUGAGCGUCAACUUCCAGAAGCUCCAGGCGCUCCACCGUGCCCGCCUGGACUAGGCAAAAUCCAGGAUGGUGGUGGCGGACAAGGCGGAGGCGGAUCUUGAGGAGCGCGUCGCCGAGACGCAGGCCUGGUUCCGCAAGGCCCACGAAGAACUGAAGGUUGCCCAGGAUUUGCUGGCUGAGCGUAAACAGGAGCUUAUCCUGAAGUAGGCUGACGUCGAGAAGGCCCAGGAGGCGGCAAAGGAACAGGCCGCCAAGGACGAGGCUGCUCGGUACCAGCACCAGGCUCAGCUGAACUCCCAGGAGGAGGACCUUUCUGCCCGUGAGGAGGCGCUCGCCGCCACACUCUGCGGCAAGGAUGAGGAGGUCGAGAAGCUCGUCGCGCAGCGGACCCAGGAGCUGGAGCAGAGGCACAAGGAGGCACUCAAUACUUAAGCCCUGGUCCAUGCCGACAAGGUGAAGGAGCUGGAGGUGGAGCGGGAUGGGCUGAAGAAACAGGUCUUGGAGCUGACGGAAGAGAAGGACGUGGCCAACGUCGCUUUGGCGAAGGCGCAUGCCAGAGUCCUCGGCAAGGCCGGGCUACUCUCCAAGGCCAACGACUCCAUCAAUGACCUGAGGCUGAAGCUGGAGGGCUUGGAGGGGAAGCUUUCGGAGGCCAGGGCCCGCGAGGAGACCCUGAACAAGGACCUGGAGGAGGAGAAAUGGCUGCGGGGGGACGGCGCCGCUGAGUACGAGGAGUACGCGAAGGGCAUGAACCUCUGGAUCAGCCACCUCGUCGUCAUCGCAGGGAAGCUCACCGCCCAGCUAGCCGUCAUGGGCAUGCCGGACGUCAGGCUCUCCGAGGAUAGGAACACAAGCCCCAAGACAGGUUAACCUUGUUCUUCGAGCGCAUCCUCGAUGCCCUGGAACAGCUCUGCUCCAACCGGGUCGCUUAUCUGGCCAACGAGUCCUGGAGGCUCUGCCGGGGUGCCCUGACCAAAGUGCUCACCAAGGUGGCGUUCUGGAACCCCACCGUAAACUUUGCCGAUGCAUCGGAGAGCUUGCCGGAGGAAGCGGACCUCGCGGCGCUCAAGGAGCGUAUCAAGCCUAUCAUCGACUGCGUCGUCGGAGUCCAGAGGGUGUGGAGGGCCAGCGCCGGGACUAGGCACCCCGUUUCUCGUCGCCGCUGCGAGUUCAAGACCAAGACAAUUUUAUCUUAAGUUAGAACCGCGGCGAUUACUUGAUGUAAUAUAACUUUGCAGUACUUUAAGAUCAAGCAUGCUAUCUUCCUGUUAGAUCUUUCUUUGUAUGUUCGCACCCUACGCUUGGUUGGAUAAGGCUGCCGAUGCGUAAACCCAUGCCGGGGUGCUUUGAGGACAGAUCCUUAGCAGCCUGUCGGGGGGCUCUUGCUGCCGGGCAAGCCACCUUGCCGCUCCCAGCGCGGUUGCUUGAACUGUCGAGCAGACUCGAAACAGGACAAGAGCGCUGCUAGUACUGGGUAGGCCACCUUGCCGUUCUCAACGCGGCCGCUUGAACUGUUGAGCGGACUCGAAACAGAGCAAGGGCGUUGCCAAUAGAGGAAGGGUCCCAUUGCGUGCAGGUUUCCCAUACAAGGGACGAGAUCUUUCGAGGAAGACUGACUUAUAUAAACGAAAUUACUCAAAAUUUUGCGCGACUUAGCUUUUCAUGGCCCGGAUAGCUGUUGCGGCUGCGGAUGGCACCAGAGGGCGGCUGAGCCAUGCCGCCUUCUCCUCUCGAGCCAUCCCCAUGAAGAAGUCGAUGCGCUGACCAUCAAACCGGAUUUUCACAGCUUGCGCCCCCUACCUGGCGCGCCAAAGAUGUCGGUGGAAACGACACCUAUGGGAUCACGGGGAAUCCCUUCUACGGUCGGCGGGCGCGGGGCUGUGGAAAGAGCGGGUUUGAGGGAUCAACACGGGAGAUUUAUCCAGGUUCGGGUCGCAAGCGAUGCGUAAAACCCUACUCCUGCUAGCUUGUGUUUAUCUGGUGUUCUUGGACUAGCUACAAAGCGUGUCGGGUCCAAAAAGUCUGAAUCCUCUCUCAGUACGCCGCGGGCCUCCUUUUAUAGUCAAAAGGGGCUACCACAGUGGCACACAGGAGAUGGAAAGUUGUACAGUGGUCGAGUUUAUCGCCUGACAUCACAGGACAAAACGCAUUAAAUGCGCUACUUAGGUGUCCUCUUGCUUUAUCAGGGGCGGUAACGAAGCCCGUCCCAUCCGUCGCUGCUUCGCCUCACUCCGACGCGUGUCCAGGCUGACUAGGCGCGCAGCGCCACGCUGGCUGGCUGGCUGCUGAGUUGGCGCGGUGGCAGAGUCUUCAUGAAGAUCUGCAUGCCACCACGCAGGUGCUUGCUGAGUUGGCCUGGAAGCUCCACGUCACCAUGUAGGCGCUUGCCUUGUUGGAGGGUUGAUCGUUGUGUUGGAACGGCGGUGGAGCCUUGGCAGGUGGGGGCCUGGCUACGGCCCCGCAGAUGUCCCCGGCAAGGGUCUUGCCGUGGCCUCCUAGGUGUCCCCGGCAAGGAUCUUGCCGGGGGUCUCCGUCUUCUGGUCCUCAUCUAGCAUCGUAUGUUCUUGGUCUUCACAAAGAUCUGCAUGCCACCAUGGUGGCGCCUCCCGAGCCUUGGUUCCAAUGUGGUUGAGGACGUCGGAACUCUCAGGCUCAAGGGUGGCGGCUCCGCUGGUGUUGGGCAAGUUGCCCCGGCAAGGCUCUUGCCGGGGCCGUGAAGGCCGCCCCGGCAAGGACCUUGCCGGGGGAGUUUCACCUCGCCCCUCAGCUCUUCAUGCUUCUGGUCUUGAGCACGGCUCUGGUAAUCUUUGCUUCUUCUGCCCCGCCAAGCGUGGCCACGGGCGUGGAGCUGCGACUGCCCGCGCACGAGUAAAGGGGUACAAAAAGGGGGCCCUACUUUUGCACACCGACACUGUCGGAGGGGGAAACCAUCACCAGUGGCCAUCUUCAUCAUCCCGGCUGUCUCCAUGAUGAGGAGGGAGUAGUUCACCCUCGGGCUGAGGGUAUGUACUAGUAGAUAUGUGUUUGAUCUCUCUCUCUCUCUCAUGUUCUUGAUUUGGCACGAUCUUGAUGUACCGCGAGCUUUGUUAUUAUAUGUUAAUCAUAUGGUGUUUCUCCCCCUCUACCUUCUUGUGAUGAAUUGAGUCUUGCUCUUUGAGGUUCCUUUAUGUUGGAUUGAGUAUUGGAUUUGAGAACAUUUGAUAUAUGUCUUGCGAUGGGAUAUCUGUGGUGACAAUGGGAUGUUCUGUUGAUUCACCUGAUGUAUGUUUUGGCACUCAACUCGCGGAUUCCCGAGGUGACAUUGGGGUAACCUAUGCAUAGGGGUUGAUGCACGUUUUCGUCCUACAUUCUCCGAUAGAAACUUUGUAGUGACUUUUGUUGCACGUUGAGGGAUUGCCAUAUGGUCUAUGUUAUCAUUGUUGAGAGAACUUGCACUAGUGAAAGUAUGAACCCUAGGCCUUGUUUCCAAGCAUUGCAAUACCAUUUUUGCUCACUUUUGUUACUUGCUACCUUGCUGUUUUUAUAUUUUCAUAUUACAAAAACCUAUAUGUAUCAUCCAUAUUGCACUAGUAUCACCAUCUCUUCGCCGAACUAGUGCACCUAUACAAUUUACCAUUGUAUUGGGUGUGUUGGGGACACAAGAGACUCUUUGUUAUUUGGUUGCAGGGUUGUUUGAGAGAGACCAUCUUCAUCCUAUGCCUCCCACGGAUUGAUAAACCUUAGGUCAUCCACUUGAGGGAAAUUUGCUACUGUCCUACAAAACUCUGCGCUUGGAGGCCCAACACGAGUCUACAAGAAGAAGGUUGCAUAGUAGACAUCACAGAAUGAGUAAAAUGACUUGUCGGUAAUUAGAUUUAACUAGGUAUGAAGAUACUGACAAUCGAAUCUCGGGCAAGUAACAUACCGACAGACAAAGGGAAUUAUGUAUGUUGUCAUAAUUGUUCGACCGAUAAAGAUCUUUGUAGAAUAUGUAGGGAUCAAUAUGGGCACCCAGGUCCCGCUAUUGGUUAUUGACCGGAGAGGCGUCUCUGUCUUGUAUACAUCAUUCCCGAACCCGUAGGGUCCGCACGCUUAACGUUCAUUGACGAUAUAGUAUUAUAUGAGUUAUGUAAGUUGAUGACCGAAUAUUGUUCGGAGUCCCAGAUGAGAUCAAGUACAUGACGAGGAGCUCCAGAAUGGUCCGGAGUUAAAUAUUGAUAUAUAGGACGAUGAUAUUUGGUCACCGGAAAGGUUUCAGAAUGUAUCGGGUAGUCAUCGGAUCACCGGAAGGGGUUCCGGGAGACCCCGGGAGGUUAUUGGGCCAUAUGGGCCAAACAAGGGGAGCACACCAGCCCACAAGGGGAUGACGCGCCCCACCUCUAGGCCACCGGCCCUAAGGUAGGAGAGGGGAAGGGCUAGCCCCUCCUGCCUUCCCCUCCUCAUGAGAGAAAGGAAAGGGGGGCACCCUCUCCUGCCUUCCCCCCGCGCGCCCAAGAAGGGAGGGGCGUGGCCAACGGCCCCUUGGGUGAGCCCUAGGCUGCCUCCCCUCCCCCACCUAUAUAUAUGUGAGGAGGGAGAGGGGCAACAGACACCACGAUCCCCAAGUCGUGUGUGGCACCCCUCUCCGUCUAGUUCACCCUCGGUCAAAUUUUCGUAGUGCUCGGUGAAGCCCUGUGGAGUUGUUCCAUUACCACCGUCACCACACCGUCAUGCUGCCGGAACUCAUCUACUACUUCACCCAUCUUGCUGGAUCAAGAAGGUGAGGACGUCAUUGAGCUGAACGUGUGUUGAACUCGGAGGUGCCGUACGUUCGGUACUUGAUCGGGCUGAUUGUGAAGGUGUAUGACUACAUCAACCACGUUGAUAAACGCUUCUGCUUAACGGUCUACGAGGGUACGUAGACACACUCUCCUCUCUAGUAGCUAUGCAUCUCCAUGGGUAGAUCUUGCAUGUGCAUAGAUUUUUUUUGUAUUCCAUGCAACGUUCCCCAACGGUGUCAUCAUGAGCCAGGUCUAUGCGUAGAUGAUAUGCACGAGUAGAACACAAAAUAGUUGUGGGCGGUGAUGGUCAUACUGCUUACCACCAACGUCUUAUAUUGAUUCGGUGGUAUUGUGCGAUGAAGCAGCCCGGACCAACCUUACAUGUCCACGCACAUGAGACCAGUUCCACCGACUAACAUGCAACUUGUUUUGCAUAAAGGUGGAUGGCAGGUGUUUGUUUCUCUUACUUUAGUUGGAUCGAAUUUGGCUACAGCCGGUCCUUGAAGAAGGUUAAAACAUCAAACUUGAUAAUCACCUUCUGGUUUUGCGUAGUUAAGAACGGUUGUUUCUAGUUGCCCGUAGCGGCCAUGUAAAACUUGCAACAACAAAGUUGAGGACAUCUAACUUGUUUUUUGCAGGGCAUGUUGUGAUGUGAUAUAGUCAACAUAUGAUAUGUUUUGUAAUAAGUUCAUGACUUGCAUGUUGAUGAGUACGACAACUGGUAGGACCCUUAGGGUUGUCUUUAAUUAUUGUAUGACCUGCGUGUCAAUCAUUAAGCACCAUGUAAUUGCUUUUACUUUAUCGCUAUGCGUUAGCAAUAGUUGUAGAAGCAAUAGUUGGCGAGACGACCCCGACGCUACGGUGGAGAGCAAGGUGUCGAGCCGGUGAUGAUGGAGAUCAUGACGAUGCUUUGGAGAUGGAGAUCAAAAGCACAAGAUGAUGGUGGCCAUAUCAUGUCACAUAUUUUGAUUGCACGUGAUGUUUAUCCUUUAUGCAUCUUAUUUUGCUUAGAACGAUGGUAGCAUUAUAAGAUGAUCCCUUCACUUAAUUUCAAGAUAAAAGUGUUCUCCCUGAGUAUGCACCGUUGCCAAAGUUCAUCGUUUCGAAGCACCUCGUGAUAAUCAGGUGUGAUAAACUCUACGUUCACAUACAACGGGUGUAAGAUAGUUUUGCACAUGCAGAAUACUUGGGUUAAACUUGACGAGCCUAGCAUAUACAGACAUGGUCUCGGAACACUGGAGAAGGUCGAACGUGAGUCAUAUAGUAGAUAUGAUCAACAUAGAGAUGUUCACCAUUGAUGACUACCCCAUCUCACGUGAUGAUCGGACAUGGGUUAGUUGAUUUGGAUCAUGUAUCACUUAGAUAACUUGAGGGAUGUUAAUUUAAGUGGGAGUUCAUUAGUAAUUUGAUUAAUUCAACUUAAUUUAUCAUGAACUUAGUCUUAAUAGUUUUUGCAUAUCUAUGUUGUAGAUCAAUGGCCCGUGCUACCUUUCCCUUGAAUUUUAAUGUGUUCCUAGAGAAAGCUAAGUUGAAAGAUGAUGGUAGCAACUACACGGACUGGGUCCGUAACUUGAGGAUUAUCCUCAUUGCUGCGCAGAAGAAUUAUGUCCUUGAUGCACCGCUAGGUGACAAACCCGCUCCCGCUAAUCUAGACAUUGUGAACGCCUGGCAGACGCGGAAUGAUGACUACUCAGUAGUUCAGUGUGCCAUGCUUUACGUCUUAGAAACGGGGCUCCAAAAGCGUUUUGAACACCAUGGAGCAUAUGAGAUGUUCCAAGAGCUGAAAAUGAUAUUUCAAGCAAAUGUCCGGGUUGAGAGAAAUGAAGUGUCCAACAAGUUCUAUAGUUGUAAGAUGGAGGAGAAUAGUUCUGUCAGUGAACACAUACUCAGAAUGUCUGGGUACCAUAACCACUUGACUCGGCUGGGAAUUGAGCUCCCAGAUGAGCGUGUUAUUGAUAGAAUUCUUCAAUCACUGCCACCAAGCUAUAAAGGCUUCAUGAUGAACUAUAAUAUGCAAGGGAUGAUGAAAACAAUUCCCGAGCUCUUCGCGAUGCUGAAACCGGUGGAGGUACGAAUCAAGAAGGAGCAUCAAUUGUUGAUGGUUAACAAGACCACCAGUUUUAAGAAAAAGGGCAAGGGAAAGAAAUGGAACUUCAAGAAGAAUGACAAGCAAGUUGCCGCUCCCGUGGAGAAGCCUAAAAUUGGACCCAAGCCUGAGACUGGGUGCUUCUACUGCAAGGGUAAUGGUCACUGGAAGCGGAACUGCCCCAAAUAUUUGUGGAUAAGAAGGAUGGCAAAGUGAACAAAGGUAUAUUUGAUAUACAUGUUAUUUUUGUGUUCCUUACUAAUGCUUGUAGCAACGCCUGGGUAUUUAAUACUGGUUCGGCUGCUCAUAUUUGUAACUCAAAACAGGAGCUGCGGAAUAAACGAAGAUUGGCUAAGGACGAGGUGACGAUGCGCGUCGGGAAUGGUUCCAAUGUCGAUGUGAUCUUCAUCAGCAUGCUACCUCUACAUCUACCUUCAGGAUUAGUUUUAGACCUCGAUAAUUGUUAUUUGGUGCCAGCGUUGAGCAUGAACAUUAUAUAUGGAUCUUGUUUAUUGUGAGACGGUUAUUCAUUUAAGUCAGAGAAUAAUGGUUGUUCUAUUUAUAUGAGUAAUAUCUUUUAUGGUCAUGCACCUUUGAUGAAUGGUCUAUUCUUGUUGAAUCUCAAUCGUAGUGAUACAUAUAUUCAUAAUAUUGAUGCCAAAAGAUGCAAAGUUGGUGAUGAUAGUGCAACAUACUUGUGGCACUGCCGUUUAGGUUAUAUUGGUGUAAAGCCCAUGAAGAAACUCCAUGCGGAUGUACUUUUGGAAUCACUUGAUUAUGAAUCAUUUGAUAGUUGCGAACCAUGCCUCAUGGGUAAGAUGACUAAAACUCCGUUCUCCAGAACAAUGGAGCGAGCUAAUGACUUAUUGGAAAUAAUACAUACCGAUGUAUGCGGUUUGAUGAGUGUUGAGGCAUGCGGCGUGUAUCGUUAUUUUCUGACCUUCACAGAUGAUUUGAAUAGGUAUGGUUAUAUCUAUUUGAUGGAACACGGGUCUAAAACAUUUGAAAAGUUCAAACAAUUUCGAGUGAAGUGGAGAAUCAUCGUAACAAGAAAUUAAACUUUCUAUGAUCUGAUCGUGGAGACGAAUAUUUGAGUUACGAGUUUGGCCUUCAUUUAAAACAAUGUGGAAUUGUUUCACAACUCACGCCACCUGGAACACCACAGCGUAACGGUGUGUCCGAACGUCGUAACCGUACUUUAUUAGAUAUGGUGCGUUCUAUGAUGUCUCUUACCGAUUUUCCUUUAUCGUUUUGGGGUUAUGCAUUAGAGACAACCGCAAUCACGUUAAAUAGGGCACCAUCUAAAUCCGUUGAGACGACACCGUAUGGACUGUGGUUUGGCAAGAAACCUAAGCUGUCAUUUCUUAAAGUUUGGGGAUGCGAUGCUUAUGUCAAAAGGCUUCAGCCUGAUAAGGUCGAACCCAAAGCGGAGAAGUGCGUCUUCAUAGGAUACCCGAAAAAAACUAUUGGGUAUACCUUCUACCAUAGAUCUGAAGGCAAAAUCGUUGUUGCUAAGAAUGGGUCCUUUCUAGAGAAAAAGUUUCUCUCGAAAGAAUUCAGUGGGAGGAAAGUAGAACUUGAUGAGGUAGUUGUACCUUCUCUCGUGUUGGAAAGUAGCACAUCAGAGAAAAUUGUUCCCGUGAUGUCUACACCAACCAGAGAGGAAGCAAAUGAUAAUGAUCAUGAAACUUCAGAUCAAGUUACUACUUAACUUCGUAGGUCAACCAGAACAUGUUCCUCACCAGAGUGGUACGGUAAUCCUGUCUUGGAAGUCAUGUUGUUGGACAACGGCGAUCCUACGAACUAUGAAGAAGCUAUGAUGAGCCCAGAUUCCGACAAAUGGCUUGAGACCAUGAAAUCUGAGAUAGGAUCCAUGUAUGAGAAUAAAGUGUGAAAUUUGGUGGACUUGCCCGAUGAUCGGCAAGCCAUUGAGAAUAACUGGAUCUUCAAGAAGAAGACAGACGCUGAUGGUAAUAUCAUUGUCUACAAAGCUUGACUUGUCGCAAAAGGUUUUCGACAAGUUCAAGGGGUUGACUACGAUGAGACUUUCUCACCCGUAACGAUGCUGAAGUCCGUCUGAAUCAUGUUAGCAAUUGUUGCAUUUUAUGAUUAUGAAAUUUGGCAAAUGGACAUCAAAACUGCUUUCCUUAAUGGGUUUCUUAAAGAAGAGUUGUAUAUGAUGCAACCAGAAGUUUUUGUCGAUCCUAAAGGUGCUAACAAAGUGUGCAAGCUCCAGCGAUCCAUCUAUGGACUGGUGCAAGCAUCUCGGAGUUGGAAUAAAUGCUUUGAUGAGGUGAUCAAAGCAUUUGGUUUUAUACUGACUUAUGGUGAAGCCUGUAUUUACAAAAAAAAGUGAGUGGGAGCUCUGUGGAAUUUCUAAUAUUAUAUGUGGAUGACAUAUUGCUGAUUGGAAAUGAUAUAGAAUUUCUCGAUAGCAUAAAAGAAUUUUUGAAUAAGAAUGUUUCAAUGAAAGACCUUGGUGAAGCUGCUUACAUAUUGGGUAUCAAGGAUCUAUAGGGAUAGAUUGAGACGCUUAAUAGGAAUUUCACAAAGCACAUAUCUUUACAAAGUUCUGAAGAAGUUCAAGAUGGACUAGUCAAAGAAAGGGUUCUUGCCUAUGUUGCAAGGUGUGAAAUUGAGUAAGACUCAAAGCCCGACCACGACAGAAGAUAGAGAGAGAAUGAAAGGCAUUCCCUAUGCCUCAGCCAUAGGUUCUAUAAUGUAUGCCAUGUUGUACGUGUACCAGACCUGAUGUGUGCCUUGCCAUAAGUUUGGCAGGGAGGUACCAAAGUAAUCCAGGAGUGGAUCAGUGGACAGCGGUCAAGAAUAUUCUGCGGUACCUGAAAAGAACCAAGGAUAUGUUUCUCGUUUAUGGAGGUGACGAGGAGCUCGUCGUAAAGGGUUACGUCGAUGCUAGCUUCAACACAGAUCCAGAUAACUCUAAGUCACAAACUGCAUAGGUGUUUAUAUUAAAUGGUGGAGCUGUCAGCUGGUGCAGUUCUAAGCAGAGCGUCGUGGCGGGAUCUACGUGUGAAGCUGAUACGUCUCCAACGUAUCUAUAAUUUUUUAUUGUUCCAUGCUGUUUUAGUAUCAAUCUUGGAUGUUUUAUAAUCAUUUAUAGUCAUUUUAUAUCAUUUUUUGGUACUAACCUAUUGACAUAGUGCCCAGUGCCAGUUGUUGUUUUUUCCAUGUUUUUUACAUCGCAGAAAAUCAAUAUCAAACGGAGUCCAAAUGCCACGAAACUCCAUGGAGAUUUUUUAUGAACCAGAAGGAAGCUAUUGGGCCCUGGUUGCACCUGGGGGGAGUCCCGAGGAGGGGACAACCCACCAGGGCGCGCCAGGAGGCCCAGACGCGCCCUGGUGGGUUGUGCCCACCCCAGGUGCCCCCCGGACCGCCUCUUUGCUCUAUAAAUACCCAAAUAUUCUAGAAACCCUAGGGGAGUUGACGAAAUAUUCAUCCAGCCGCCGCAGAGUCCAGAACCACCAGAUCCAAUCUAGACACCAUCUCGGAUGGGGUUCACCACCUCCAUUGGUGCCUCUCCGAUGAUGCGUGAGUAGUUCUUUGUAGACCUUCGGGUCCGUAGUUAGUAGCUAGAUGGCUUCAUCUCUCUCUCUGAAUUCUCAAUACAAUGGUCUCUUGGAGAUCCAUAUGAUGUAACUCUUUUGUGGUGUGUUUGUUAGGUUCUGAUGAACUUCGAGUUUAUGAUCAGUUAUAUCUUUUUAUAUCCAUGAAAGUUAUUUGAGUUUCUUUGAUCUCUUAUAUGCACGAUCUCUUAUAGCCUCGUAUUUCUUCUCCGAUAUUUGGGUUUUGUUUGGCCAACUUGAUCUAUUUAUCUUGCAAUGGGAAGAGGUGCUUUGUAGUGGGUUCAAUCUUAUGAUGCUUGAUCCCAUUGACAGAAAGGGAAACGACACGUAUGUAUCGUUGCUACUAAGGAUAAAACGAUGGGGUCUAUCUCUACAUAGAUAGAUCUUGUCUACAUCAUGUCAUCAUUCUUAUUGCAUUACUCCAUUUUUCCAAGAACUUAAUACACUAGAUGCAUGCUGGAUAGCGGUCGAUGUGUGGAGUAAUAGUAGUAGAUGUAGGCAGGAGUCGGUCUACUAAUCUUGGACGUGAUGCCUAUAUAAUAAUCAUUGCCUGGAUAUCUACAUGAGUAUUUGAAGUUCUAUCAAUUGCCCGACAGUAAUUUGUUUACCCACCGUUUGCUAUUUUUCUCGAGAGAAGCCACUAGUGAAACCUACGGCCCCGGGUCUCUUUCUUAUAUAUUUGCCUUUGCGAUCUACUUUUUCCUAGCAUUUUUAUUCAGAUCUAUUAAACCAAAAAUACAAAAAUACCUUGCUGCGUUUUAUUUCUAUUUAUUUUAUUUGGCGUUGGAUCUAUCAAUCUACUACAGUUUAUUCCCGUCUGCACGCCAUUUCUGGCACCGUUACCCGAAAGGGAUUGACAACCCCUUUAACACGUCGGGUUGCGAGUGGUUGUUAUUUGUGUGCAGGGGCUGAUUAGGUUGUGUUGCUUGGUUCUCCUACUGGUUCGAUAACCUUGGUUUCAUAUCUGGGGGAAAUACCUACCGCCGCUGUGCUGCAUCAUCCCUUCCUCUUUGGGGAAAUACCGACGUAGCUUCAAGCGACAUCAGAAGCGGAGUACAUAGCUGCUUCGGAAGCAGUGCAUGAAGGAGUUCGUAUCCGAUCUAGGGGUAAUACCCAGUGCAUCGGGUCCAAUGACAAUCUUUUGUGACAGCACUGGAGCAAUUGCCUUAGCGAAGGAAUACAAGUUUCACAAGAGAACCAAACACAUCAAGCGACGCUUCAACUCCAUUCACGAAUAUGUUGAGGAUGGAGACAUAGAAAUUUGUAAAGUGCAUAUGGAUAUGAAUGUAGCAGACCCGUUAACUGAGCCUCUUCCACGAGCAAAACAUGAUCAACGCCAAGACUCCAUGGGUGUUACAUUCAUUACAAUGUAAUCCAGAUUAUUGACUAUAGUGCAAGUGGGAGACUGAUGGAAAUAUGCCCUAGAGGCGAUAAUAAAGUUGUUAUUAUUAUAUUUCCUUAUUCAUUAUAAAGGUUUAUUAUUCAUGCUAGGAUUGUAUGGAGCAGAAACUUAAAUACAUGUGUGGAUACAUAAACAAAUAUGUGUCCCUAGUGAGCCUCUACUAGACUAGCUCAUUGAUCUAAAGAUGGUUAAGGUUUCCUAACCAUAGACAUGAGUUUUCAUUUUAACGGGAUAUCAUCAUUAGGAGAAUAAUGUGAUGGACAAGACCCAACCGUUAGCAUAGCAUAUGAUCGUUCAGUUUAUUGCUAUUGCUUUCUUAAUGUCAAAUACAUAUUCCUUCGACCAUGAGAUCAUGCAACUCCCGGAUACCGGAGGAAUAUCUUGUGUGCUAUCAAACGUCACAACAUAACCGGGUGAUCAUAAAGAUGCUCUAACGGUAUCUCCGAAGGUGUGUGUUGAGUUGGCAUUGAUCGAGACUGGGAUUUGCCACUCCGUAUGACGGAGAGGUAUCUCUGGGCCCUCUCGGUAAUACAACAUCACAAGAAGCUCGCAAGCAAAGUGACUAAGGAGUUAGUUACAAGAUUAUGUAUUACGGAACAAGUAAAGAGACUUGUCGGUAACGAGAUUGAACUAGGUAUGAAGAUACCGACGAUCGAAUCUCGGGCAAGUAACAUAUCGACAGACAAAGGGAAUUACGUAUGUUGUCAUAAAGGUUUGAACGAUAAAGAUCUUCGUGGAAUAUGUAGGAAUCAAUAUGGGCAUCCAGGUCCUGCUAUUGGUUAUUGAACGGAGAGGCAUCUCGGUCAUGUCUACAUCAUCCUCGAACCCGUAGGGUCUGCACGCUUAACGUUCGUUGACGAUGUAGUAUUAUAUGAGUUAUGUGAGUUUAUGACCAAAUGUUGUUCGGAGUCCUAGAUUAGAUCACGGACAUGACGAGGAGCUCCAGAAUGGUCUGGAGGUAAAGAUUGAUAUAUAGGACAAUGCUAUUUGGUCACCGGAAAGGUUUCAGAAUGUACCGGGUAGUCAUCGGAUCACCGGAAGGGGUUCCGGGAGGCCCCGGGAGGUUAUUGGGCCAUAUGGGCCAAACGAGGGGAGCACACCAGCCACAAGGGGCUGGCGCGCCCCACCUAUAGGCCGCUGGCCCUAACGGAGGAAUGGGGGGAGGGCUAGCCCCUCCCUCCUUCCCCUCCUCAUGAGAGAAAGAAAAGGGGGGCACACCCUCCUGCCUCCCCCCUCCCCCCCGCGCGCGCCCAAGAAGGAAGGGGCGGCCAAGGGCAGGAGCCCAAGGCGGCCGCCGGCCCCUUGGGGGAGCCCUAGGCUGCCUCCCCACCUCCCCCACCUAUAUAUAUGUGAGGAGGGAGAGGGGCAACAGACACCAUGAUCCCCAGGCCGUGUGCGGCGCCCCUCUCCCUCUAGUUCAUCCUCGGUCAUUUUUUUGUAGUGCUCGGCGAAGCCCUGCAGAGAUAGUUGCAUCACCACCAUCACCACACCGUCGUGCUGCCAGAACUCAUCUACUACUUCACCCGUCUUGUUGGAUCAAGAAGGCGAGGACGUCAUCGAGCUAAACGUGUGCUGAACGCGGAGGUGUCGUACAUUCGGUAUUUGAUCGAGCGGAUCGUGAAGGUGUAUGACUAUAUCAACCACGUUGAUAAACGCUUUCGCUUAACGGUCUACGAGGGUACGUAGACACACUCCCCUGUCUCGUAGCUAUGCAUUUCCAUACAUAGAUCUUGCGUCUGCGUAGAUUUUUUUUUGUUUUCCAUGUAACGUUCCCCAACAGAAACAUUAUAGUUCUAAAUUAAGAGGAAAUGACUUCUAUACACCAAGAUUCUUCCAGGCCCAAAAUUAACUCCAUGCCAUGGUUGAGGCCCUGCCCAGCAUCUUAUCAAUGCAUUUCUUCCAGGAUGAAAAGGAAAUACAUUGAAAAUUAAAUGGCAUGGUCAUCCGAUGGACUCCUUCGAGGCAAAAAAAAAUCCCCUCCACGCCAUGGUUGAUGCCGUGCCAGGCGGAUGCGUUUCUUUUAGGAGGAAAAGAAAGCCAACUUUGGAAUAGAAAUUCAUCAAUUGGUUCUACUGGAACCGGCCGGAACCGAUCUCCCAGCGGCACCGUAGUUACCUUAUUCGGAACGGAGACAGGUACGGGAAGGGAGAACCAGGGUACGCAUGGCACUAAACCGGUAAGCUAACAUAACCUAGAGAAUCCCAGAGAGCUACAGAGGCGAGCAACACCGACGAUCAAGCCGGAGGAGCGCCCUGAAGCAGAGAUCGGCUCCCAGACGCCGUAGCCACUGAGAAAACUGGUGUUAUUUUCGGGGAGAGAGAGUCGAUCGUUUUGUGAUUUUUCCCCUAGGGAGAGAGAGGCGCUGUGGAUUACGAUUGGAACUGAAAACGGAGAGACAAAGGCUCGAAAGAUAAUGCCUCAGGAAUUUUGUUUGUAGCAAAAGAUUAAUUGAAGAGAUUAGCAGUGAUCUAAACAUUUUUAUAUUUCUUUAAGGAGGGAGUAUGUAAUAAGGUGGAACCACGUGUAAGGCUACCAACGGAACCGUGCAUGAAGGGGCCUCACAUGCCCUCAUCGUCAGUUACAAAGUACUCCCUUCGUCCCAUAAUAUAAAAACGUUUCUUACACUAUACGGAGGGAGUAGUUUUCUUUUCUGUAGAUUGUCCAGCUGUCUUGACAUGGGAAUCAAAAAAAAUCCACCACCGUGGAUGUAGGUCACACCGAUUGGCUGCUCAUUGCAAACUGAAUAAUGACGUGUCAUGGUGCUGAUGUGGACAGUGUGCAUGUUAAAAGAAUUGAUAGUAGUGGAGAUGAACUUCUUAAGAAUGUAUAAAAAAUAGACAUCAAUAACAUAUAUUAGGAAAAAAUUUAAUCAUGUAUUUUAAUGUUUUUACACAUGUAUAAAAAAUAUGUUUGAAAUGUGUACAAAUAAUGUAAAAUGCCUAUAAAUAUUAGGCAUAAAACAUAUACAUGAGAAAAAAUGUUCAUUAUGUAAAAGAUGUUAAACAUGUAUACAAAAGUGUUCCUUAUGUAUACAAAAAAUGUACAAUGUAGAUGUAAAAAAAGCAAACAUCAAAACUAUAUAUUUGGCGAAAAUAUUAACCAUGUAUCCGAAAAAUAUUCAACAUGUAUAAAAAAAUUAAACUUAUACAAUAAACAUGUAUAAAAUUGUACAUGUUCUAAAGAGAUAAAAAAUAAACAAAGAAAGACAAAGUAAAACAAUGUAAAUCAAGAAAGAAACAAAGAAAGCCAAGAAAGAAAAAGUGAAAAUGAAAGAAAACCAAUGUAAAAAGUGUUAAAACAGUGUAACUGACAAAGAAACAAAUAAAACCAAGAACCAUUGAAAACCAAAAAAGGAACAAAGAAACUGGAGAACAAGAAAAGAAAAUAAGUGCAAAAAUGAAAACAAUGAAACGUAGAGAUAAAAAGUGAAAAUAGAAGAUCGAUGAAAACCAAGAAAGAAACAAAGAAAAUAAAGAAAAACAAAUAAAAAGGCAAAAAAAUGAAGACUGACAAAGAAACAAAGAAAACAGAUAAGAAAAAUAAAGAAGCGGAAAACCAGAAAAAACAAAAGGCAAAGGAAAAUGAAUAAAUAACCUAAAGGAAACUGGGCCAAAGUAGUACAGCGGCCGAUACCUCGACCAAGUGAGCGCGCCAACGAGAGAACAAAUGGACCGACCCAGUUAUAACGCACGGGAGAAAAUCCCUGAGGUUAUAAACAAGAAAUAACAGUUUCUCAAAAAGAAAAUGAGAAAUAACAUUUAGAGUGCUUAUUCGUGUAAUAUUAACACUCGCUUGAAAUCUUAUCGAUAACUGAGAUACCCGUCGACUGAGAGAGCAAUUAAUUUAGAAGUGCUCUUUCUAGAGCCUUCCCAAGGGUCACUUGGGGUGGGCUGAGAGCACGUCACGUGUAGCGCUCUGGGCACUCCCCUUAUUUUUUUAUUUUUUCGCACGUUUUUUUUCUUUUUAUUUGGAUUUUCGGCUUUUAGAUUUUUCACUGAUCUUUCUUAGCUUUUUGGAAAAAAAUUGAUUUUUUGUUGGAAAAAUACCUGUUUUUUGCUUCUGCGAGGGGCACUGCCCUGCCUCUGGAAAUGAAAAGCAAAACGUGUUUUCUUUCUUUUUCCUUUCAUAAGAGGUACGGUUUUGCUUCCACGAGAGGUACGGCCGUGACUCUCGGAAAUUAAAAAACACAUUUUCUUUUUUUUUUCCUUCCGUGAGAGGUGUGGUUUUACUUCCGCGAGAGGAAUGGUUUUGCUUCGGCGAGAGGUACGACCGUGCCUCUCGAAAUUGGAAAAAAUACGUGUUUUUUCUUUUCUUUUGUGAGAGUCAUGGUUUUGCUUCGCGAGAAGCAUGGCCGUGUCUCUUGGAAACAAGAAAAAAACGCAUUUUCUUUUUUUUUCUGUGAGGGGCAUGGUUUUGCUUCCGCGAAAGCCACGACAAAACGGUUCUAAAUUUGAACACACGGUUUAAGAAAUAAAACAUUUUCAAUAAACAGAUUUAUAAAAAAAAAUCACAUGUUGCAACAAGUGGCACAUAUGCAACGUGCCACUUAUCGCAGCCUUUGAAAAAGAAAUGCUCCUCAAUUAGUGAUCCGGGCCGACCAAACAGGAAAAAGAAGUCUUGCGUCGUCGCUUGAUCCUGUCAGCCCAUAUAUAAUACUCCUACUCCCUCUGUCCCAUAAUAUAAGAGCAUUUUUAACGCUAGUGGAGUGUCAAAAACGUUCUUAUAUUUUAGGACAGAGGAAGUACUAUUUUACCGUUUCCAUAUGUCACGGAUCCGUCAAUUACAUAAUGUCAGACUUCACACUGUCAUACACGUGCUUACGUAUUAAACCCAAUAAGAGUCGCGGUAUGAACGCCUCCUCGCACGCUCCACCUGUCCCGAUUUUACUGUGCCGACUUUUUUUAACCGGAAAAAGUGGAAACGAAGGGAGCUAGCUCGCAUGAGACAAAUUACCCAGCUGUCACGCCCAAUAUGCGACCCUAUCCGAGAGGAACUCGAAGGUCCCACUAAGGAUAGACCCGCAUAUUGAAACGCUUUUGCAAGGUGGAUAUCAUUACAUCAACAUUACAUAAUAGAUGAUGAUACAUACAAGGCAUACAAAUGUCGCACGAAUACAUCAAUACAACAUACGUAAGAUCAACAUCCGACUACGGAUGAAACACAAACAGAAGCUUAAACGACAUCCACCCUGCUAGCCCAGGCUGCCGACCUGGAAGCUAUCCCCUGAUCGAAGAAGAAGCAGAAGAAGAACUCCAAAACAAGUAACAUCGCUCUCGCGUCAUGAUCAUCGCAAACCUGUACCUACAACUGUUGUUGUAGUAAUCUGUGAGCCACGAGGACUCAGCAAUCCCAUUACCAUGGGUAUCAAGACUACCAAGCUUAAUGGGUAAGGAAGGGGUAAAGUGGUGAGGUUGCAGCAGCGACUAAGCAAGUAUGGUGGCUAACAUACGCAAAUAAGAGCGAGAAGAGGAGCAACAGAACGGUUGCGAAACUAGCAAUGAUCAAGAAGUGAUCCUAAACUCCUACUUACGUCAAACAUAACCCAAAAACCGUGUUCACUUCCCGGACUCCGCCGAAAAGAGACCAUCACGGUUACACACGCGGUUGAUGCGUUUUAGUGAAGUCAAGUGUCAAGUUCUCUACAACCGGACAUUAACAAAUUCCCAUCUGCCACAUAACCGCGGGCACGGCUCUCGAAAGUUUAUACCCUGCAGGGGUGUCCCAACUUAGCCCAUUAUAAGCUCUCACGGUCAACGAAGGAUAUUCCUUCUCCCGGGAAGACCAGAUCAGUCUUGGAAUCCCGGUUUACAAGACAUUUCGACAAUGGUAAAAUAAGACCAGCAAAGCUGCCCGAUGUGUCGACAAUCCCGAUAGGAGUCGCACGUAUCUCGUUCUCAGGACACACCGGAUAAGCGAAGCGUACAGGUACCGACGUAACCCAAGUUGCCAAGGGAUGGUCCCGCACGGUGCUCUAGUUUGGACCAACACUCCGAGGAGCACUGGCCCCGGGGGGGGGGGGGUAAAAUAAGAUGACCCUCGGGAGCGCGACUCCCAAGGGAAAAAAGGUUGGGCCUUGCUGGAGGAGUUUUAUUCAAAGUGAACUGUCAAGGGGUCCCCAUAACAACCCAACCACGUUAGGAACGCAAGAUCAAGGAACAUAACACCAAUAUGACGGAAACUAGGGCGGCAAGAGUGGAACAAAACACCAGGCAUAGGCCGAGCCUUCCACCCUUUACCAAGUAUAUAGGUGCAUUAAUUAAAUAAAAGAUAUUGUGAUAUCCCAACAUAAACAUAAUCCAACAUGGAGCAAUCUUCAACUUCACCUGCAACUAGCAACGCUAUAAGAGGGGCUGAGCAAAAGCGGUAACAUAGCCAAAUAACGGUUUGCUAGGAAUGGUGACAAAGGUUAGAGGUUCAUGGCAAUUUGGGAGGCUUGAAGAGCAAGUGAUAGGUAGCGCAGCAAAGCGAUAGAACGAAGCAACUAGCAUAGCAAUGAUAGUAAUGAGAUCCAAGGUAACAGUCAUCUUGCCUGAAAUCCCGCAAGGAAAAAGAAUGAGUCCAUGAAGAAGAUGAAGCCACGAAGACGAACGAAUCCUCACGCUCGCAACGACACGGGAACUAUCGAGAAGAAGCACACAACAUAGUAAACACACCACACAUGAACAAGGCAUGAUGCUCAACCAAGUAUGAUGCAUGACAAGGCUAUAUGAAGCUACUCAUGGCAAGAGAUGAUGCAUACAAGAGCAACACAUCAAAACAAGUUUAAAUGAGGCCGGAAACAACCUAUAACAAUUCCGGUAAGUCCUCAUAUGCAAAUUUUGAAAUUGGUCCAGAUCUGAAUAAACCUUAUGUUCAAGUUGUUAAACAGCAAGUUAAAAUACACCAAGAUGAUCUACACAAAAUUCUAGUCAAGUUACAUAUAAAGUUCAUUAGCUUCGGAGCUACGGCCUAGAAGAUAUGAGCAAAACAAGUUAAACAUGGUAUUGAUGCAAAAUGCGUUCAAACAUCAAGCAAACACACUCAAGGCAUGGAUCCAACAAGGUAAUAUGAAACUACAUGCAAAACUAAGCAAGUUUCAUAUAGAGCGUGCUCACAACGGAGCAACGGGGCAACACAUACACUCCAAACAACAUAUAGCAACAAUCUGUCCAAAACAGCAACUAGGCAUCUUGCUAGCAUCAAAACAAUAUGCUACAGUAUCUUAACAUGAAAACAAAUGACAUGGGCAUGAUGUACAGGUAAAGCAUUACAAAACAUGAACACUGAACUAUCUUCAGAAAUCACUAGAACAUGCUCAAAAGGACAUGGUAAGAUUGCAAACAAUAACAGUUCACAGAUUUAGCAGAAAAUCACUGGACAUGGCAGAAAUAACAUCAGGUUGCAAAGUUUAGAGCUAUCAAACAACAUGCUAUAGGACCAUAUCAUAGAAAACAAAGGCAUGGCAUGAAUCUACUAAUUGCAUAGAACAAAAGUCUCUUACUGAACAUGAGCUAAAAAGGCACAGAAGAUAUGAUGGCACCCAGGUAAACAUAGCAAGUUUUAUUAGCAGCUAUCAGACUUAGAAGAAAACAGAGCAUGUCAGAAAUAACGAUAAGUAGGCAUGUUGGUGAGCUUGAACCACUCACUACAGAGCAUUAUAUGGCAUGACAAGGUAACCAGCAGUAAUAAGGCAUAAUUAUGAAGCUAAGCAUGGCAAUAGCAUAGUCAUAGGAUGCAUGGACCACUAAUAACACCCAUGGCAAAAUUGAUUAACAUGUAAACAAUCUGCCAGGAACAUUUUAAAGCAAAAGUAGAGCAAGAUUAAGACAUGCUAGAGCACUCCAUAAUUGCAACCAUGGGCAUGGAUAGAUAGAUCAUAACAUGUAUAAUAAAACAUUCUUAGUGAACAUCUCCAUAUUAUGCAUAGAACUCAUGGUGGCAGCAGGUUUACAUAGCAACAAAAUAUAACAGAUUCAGACUUAGCAGAAAUGACUAAGUCACAGAAAUCAGCAACAUCAUGGAGGCUACUUUGCAUGCUUGUGCUAGUCACCACAUAGAUCCUAAAAAUACAAUACUAGCACCACUGUAAAGAUGGCGUGAUGUAGAACAAAACACAUGUAGACAUCAAGCUCAUAGGAUGCACACACAAAAUGCAAUGAAAAAGACAAAUCACCAAGUUCUGAUAACAGACAGCAGAUAACAUCAUAUAGCACUCUUGCAACGAUGAUUAGGGCAUCAACAUGGACUCAAACAAGCAUGGCACAAUGGAACAAAAUAAAGAGCAUCUCAAGACGAACCUUUCGAUAUAUCAUGCACGCAAAAUGGAGCUAUGGUCAUGGAGAUAUGGCAGGCCAAAGUAUGCAAGAUGCAACAGUUUCCAGGGACUUGCAGAAAUUUCGAAAAAAACAGGGUGAGCGUAAUAUAGCUAAGUAGCGCACGGGCGAAGGGUAGCCGGGCUUCUCACCAGCGUGGCCUUGGGCCGGAGAGAGGCGGAGUUGGGCCGGGGCUGGGCCGGANNNNNNNNNNNNNNNNNNNNNNNNNNNNNNNNNNNNNNNNNNNNNNNNNNNNNNNNNNNNNNNNNNNNNNNNNNNNNNNNNNNNNNNNNNNNNNNNNNNNNNNNNNNNNNNNNNNNNNNNNNNNNNNNNNNNNNNNNNNNNNNNNNNNNNNNNNNNNNNNNNNNNNNNNNNNNNNNNNNNNNNNNNNNNNNNNNNNNNNNNNNNNNNNNNNNNNNNNNNNNNNNNNNNNNNNNNNNNNNNNNNNNNNNNNNNNNNNNNNNNNNNNNNNNNNNNNNNNNNNNNNNNNNNNNNNNNNNNNNNNNNNNNNNNNNNNNNNNNNNNNNNNNNNNNNNNNNNNNNNNNNNNNNNNNNNNNNNNNNNNNNNNNNNNNNNNNNNNNNNNNNNNNNNNNNNNNNNNNNNNNNNNNNNNNNNNNNNNNNNNNNNNNNNNNNNNNNNNNNNNNNNNNNNNNNNNNNNNNNNNNNNNNNNNNNNNNNNNNNNNNNNNNNNNNNNNNNNNNNNNNNNNNNNNNNNNNNNNNNNNNNNNNNNNNNNNNNNNNNNNNNNNNNNNNNNNNNNNNNNNNNNNNNNNNNNNNNNNNNNNNNNNNNNNNNNNNNNNNNNNNNNNNNNNNNNNNNNNNNNNNNNNNNNNNNNNNNNNNNNNNNNNNNNNNNNNNNNNNNNNNNNNNNNNNNNNNNNNNNNNNNNNNNNNNNNNNNNNNNNNNGAGGGUGGCGGCGGCGCUGGAUCCGAGGGGGAGGGGUUAGGGGUAGGAUUAGACUAGGGUUGCCCGUUUUUGGAAGGGAGGGGUCUAUAUAUAGGGAAGGCUAGGGUUUAGGGGGGGUUUGGAGCGUCUUGGAGCCUCCGAUCGCCAUCGGACGGCUCCGGUUCGGAGGGGGGGUUAGGCUGGGCCUAGAAGGGGUUAGUGGGCUGUGAAGAGAGGGCUUGGGCUGAGGGGAGAGAAGAGAAGUGCAGCCCGGCGGCAGUUUCGGAUACCGAAACGUCCGACGAAGGUACCGGCAGCGGUACCGCUAUAUGUUUAACGGUUGGGCUAUCAAACGAGCUCCGAAUGCGACGGAACUUGGCAGGCGGCCUACCUACACUAUAAUAAGACCGCACGCCAACUUUCAUCCCAUUCCGAGAACAUUUUUAUGCCACUUAUAAAAUAAUAUUUCGGAGGUGCCGGGGCGCGUGCGAGUGAGUCUGUGCUCAGAACGGACAACGGAGAGAACUGGGAGGACCUUGACGGAUGCAAGUUUUGAAAAACAUGCAGAAGAAAUGCAGAUGAUGACAUGGCAAAAUGCAACACGCCAGCAAAUGACAAGGCAAGGACGGCGAAUAACUGGCAGACACCUGGCGCAUCAGAUCCGGGGCGUUACAACACUCCUCCACUAACAAGAGAUCUCAUCCCAAGAUCUUAGGACCGAGACGGAAGGAAAAAAAGGAAUGAGGUGAAAUAAGAACACAAGAGGAAAAAUAAAGAAUCGAGAGCACUCGAGAAGAAGAGAGGAACGGUGAGAAUGACGAGAAUGAAAUGCUCACGAAAUCAGAUAGACUUGAAACCACUCCGGUUAGAACGAGAUAAGAAAAGAAUAAGACUAAAAGGAUUUAGGCAGCACUUCGGCUGAAACAAGGAAAGAAUAGAACAUGAACUUGAGAAAUGAAACGAUACUUGACUUGAGGAACAACACAAAACCUCCGGAAUACUUGAAAUAGUUGAAUGAAAGGAACGAAGAAGAAAUGAUAUCAUCUACCACAACUGAGUUUGAAAGCAUCCUUAGGAGGAAGGAUUGAACGAAGUUGUUGAGAAAAUCAACAACGAAAAGAAUAAGCUUGUUGUGGUCUUAUGGGUACAUCUCAAAAUCAAGAGGUGAUAACCAACCACAAACGGAAAAGAUUGAAAAGCUGAGAGGAACGAGGAAAUGCAAAACUCCACUUCAGAAGAAUAUGGAGAAUUAAUUGCACUUUGAGAAGCAAGAAGAAGAUACUUGAGCUACGCCUACAAGAAUCUUGAUGAACACUUGAAGAAUGAAUUAAAUCAUGACGAACCACCGUGAUGAACUCCGGUAAAAAAAGGACAACGAGAUAAAAUUGAAGGAUGAAAGGGAUAAGAUUAAAUCCUUGCGACGAUUUGGAUGGAGGUUCAUGACGAAAUCGGCGAGAAGCUUAGAAUUCCGGAAAAGAAAAGAUGAAAACACUUUGAACCGAGAAAGUGAUAAGAUGAACAAUCUCCGAAAAGAAGAGAUAAAACCAUUUGAAGAAAGAAGAAUAAGGAUUACGUUAUGCUUAUCCUUCACCAAUUAAAUUGAUGAGAAACAAUGGAUUUGCAUACUACUUAUUCUCGUUGGAAAGAUUAAGGGGAUAUAGCGCAAAACUUGAGAAAGUCUUCGUGAACCACCGGUAGGAUUUGGAAAGAACGAAUGAAAUGAUAUGAUAACAACAAAAAGAAUCUUGAACGAGCCACCGUAGGAAUAGAAACGAAUAACGAAAAGAGAAUGAAUCACCGGAAAGAAUUAGGAUUUGCGUGCGAGUGUGUCUGUGCUCAAAACAGACAACGGAGAGAACUGGGAGAACCCGGACGGAUGCAAGUUUGGAAAAACAUGCAGAAGAAAUGCAGAUGAUGACAUGGCAAAAUGCAACACGCCAGCAAAUGACAAGACAAGGACGGCGAAUAACUCGCAGACAACACCUGGCGCAUCGGAUCCGGGGCGUUACACGAGCCCCCGUUCCCCAUUCGCCGCCCCCUCCUCCCCGAUUCCUCUCCCUCCCCCUCUUCCUCGUCUGCUGCCGCCACCACUCACCGGAGCCCUCCCCCACCGCCGCCGCCGCCGCUGCCGCCACCGCCAGCGCCACCACCAGCGCCCUGGCCAACAGCCUACAACCCACCCCCCUNNNNNNNNNNNNNNNNNNNNNNNNNNNNNNNNNNNNNNNNNNNNNNNNNNNNNNNNNNNNNNNNNNNNNNNNNNNNNNNNNNNNNNNNNNNNNNNNNNNNNNNNNNNNNNNNNNNNNNNNNNNNNNNNNNNNNNNNNNNNNNNNNNNNNNNNNNNNNNNNNNNNNNNNNNNNNNNNNNNNNNNNNNNNNNNNNNNNNNNNNNNNNNNNNNNNNNNNNNNNNNNNNNNNNNNNNNNNNNNNNNNNNNNNNNNNNNNNNNNNNNNNNNNNNNNNNNNNNNNNNNNNNNNNACCACUGGCAAGCUCCCCCCCUUCACCUCGCCCCAGAUCGAAUGCCAUGGACAAGGUGCUCUCUCCAUCUCUUUUGUGUUCGAUUUGGAGUUGGUUCUCUGUUCGUGAAGCUCCCUCUCUUCUCUGCUACAGGAGAGCAUCUCUCUCUGAUCAUGAAGCAGCCCCAACCCUAGCCCUUCUUUGGCCAUGGCGGCUGAGUAGGCAGGAGGUACGAACCCCUCCUCCCCUCCCAAAACCAGCUCCUGGGUGUGUUCUUCAUCACCUUAUGUGAUCUGUGCCUCUGCGUGUCGAGCCAUGGUGAAUUUUUCUAUGUGUGCUGGACAUUGAGCCAUGGCAUUUUCUAGGGUUUUAUCUACUGUCAUGCUACAUCUGUUUGUGCUUGGAGAGCUGUAAGGUUUUAUCUACUGUGAGGAUUAUCGUCUUAUUUAUCUAAUUCACACUUUGUUUUUUAGAUAUAUUUGUUACAUCCGUUUUCAAGCAUGUGACUAUGAUCCAAUUUGUGCAAGAGCUCCUCGACUUACAUGAUGCAUCACGCCCGCUAACAGACAUGUACCGUGCAAAGUAAAAAAAACGGUUAUGUAGACUACAAUGUUAUUAGCUGCAGGUAGUUGACUAAUUUCUUUCAUACCCAUUAUAUAUGUAGAUAAAGAAAGCACUGCGUGGUGUUCGUGUUGAAGCAAACCACCAGAAAGACCAAAUCAGAAAAUAGAAGAUAACAGGAAUUACUCCUGUCCACAUUGAGCCAGCGGAAGUAAUAAUCUUUUUCGUAUGAUGUUAUAUAUUUGAGCAUUAGUCUCUAUGUUCUAGAACAGCAAAUUAGCCCAUUGUAUUUCUGGAAAGAUGUGGCUUAUAGACUUGAGGCCUUUGUUGCUUGUUUGUUCAUGUUGGUGUGUGAGAAAUUGGGUAGAUGAAUAGCUUUGCAUACAACAUUCUACCUGAGGCCCAUGCAUUUGAUAUCUGUAGGUGGUUACUUUCUCUCUCUAAUGUUGUUUUACUUCUGUUAUUUUGUUGUUGUUAGAUUUCCUGUUGAUGAGAGAGGAACAAUAAUGCCAGUCGUUCAGUACUUCAAGGACAUAUACAACUGCAAUCUGCAGUAUACUACUUGGCCCUGCCUGCAGUCUGGAAGUGAUUAUCGGCCUGUAUAUUUGCCUAUGGAGGUACUGUAUCUAUCCAUGAAUGCUUCCUCAUGUUUUAAUUAGAUAGCAUUUGUCCAGUGUUUCCUACAAAUUGGUUGUAGGCAUGCAAGCUUGUUGAAGGGCAAAGGUACUCUAAGAAGUUGAAUUAUAAACAGGUCACCAACAUACUUAGAGCUACCUGUCAACGUCCCCAGCAGAGGGAGCAAAGCAUUCAUGAGGCACCUGUAUUUAGAUGCUGUGAAUACUGAUAGUAAAUUAUUUUUUCUUAUAGUCUGGAUCAUCUGCUGCACAUUUGUUAAUUUUUUUGAUGACCAGAUUUCGCUAGGCAAUUUCAUGAGUGGGUGCCUGCACAAAUUGCUCGAGUAUUUUCAGCCACAUCAAUGUCCAGCACCUCUUGUAACAAUAUGGACGGCCACUACUUCUUCGGCUCAAGCGUAAUUUCUCGUGUUCACUCUUCUCAUUUGUUGAUGAUAUAGAAAUUUGUUGCUAUCUUUCACACCUUCCUACCUACAUAUUUCGAAUCAUGAACUAGCACUAUGUGUGUUUGCAUAUACAUACACACAACACACUUGAAAUGCUGCGUCGAUAAUCCUUUUAAUUUGAUUUGUAGAUUCUGAUAUGAACAAACUAGAAUUCGAACUUUAAUAUGAAGUUGCCGACAAUGGCCCCCAUUUGGUUUGGAGCACUAAUUGCCUGCUACUGGUAGUGCACUAUUUCAUUGCUUUAGAUGUGGCCCUUUAUUAAAUUUAGUUUGUAAAAUAUCAUAAUCAGACGUGCUUUAUUAAGAAAAUACUACUGAGAUAUGGCUACCUUACACUGUCUAAUCAAAAUAAAUCUAGGUUCUUACAGCAGUAUACUUUUGGCUUCUUUAGUUUGGACAAGCUAGCCAUAUCUGCUUGACUACCAUGACUUCUGGUCUCAGUUAUGACGAUCAUAUUAUCUUGGUUCGCAUAGUAGUACAUGAUUUUGCUUGUCAUUUAGGAUCGACCCCUUCGCCGACGAUGAAUCGACGUCCGGAGCUCUACAGAAACUACCAGCAUGACAGGUAACCUGAUCCAUCCCUGCUCUAAUUCAAACACGGCCACUGAAUCGAAUUCGUUACUCCUGCCCUAAGUCCGCCGUGCGCUGUGGAUUUGUAUUUAAUGCUGGUUUUGGAUGGUGAAUGCAGUUGCAAAUACGAGGAGCAGUGCAGGUUCGUGCACGCCAACUCUAACCAACAGUGAACCCAACCAAUUCAGGUUUUGGUACCGGGAGCAGGCAACAGCCGCAACAUAUUGUUUGGUUAGGUAUUACUAUUAACCAUGGAAAGCUAAAAAAUUGUCGGCACAUCAUCUACUCUAUAAGAUUCCCUCGCAAGAAAAUACUUUAUAAGAUGCUAAAUCUAUUAAUCACACUUGAAAUCCUUGGUUUCAGAGGCAUGCUAAUCAAUCAAUUGAGCAACAACUGAAUUCUGGAGGUAGUGCUGGAUUAUGGAAACUAUUUUAUGAUUUCAUAAUUUUUCUUUUCCAUCAUCUUUCAGUUCUUACCCAUUGCUCUGCUUUUGUAUUCUGCUAUCCUCUGUUGUAGUUUUGUGAGUUUAUCUGUUGUUAAUCCACCAACAGAAGGAAUGCAACAGAAAUGUGCAUGUUAAUGCUUACUAGAUACAUGAUUUCUUUCUUCCGUAGACGAUCCAAAUAUGGGCAUGUAUACUUCAAGACUUAAUUCUAACCAGGCGCUAAGGAAAUCCGCUCUGAACUAAGAAGGAAGAACAGAAGCAACAGCGUACAUCACGAAGAUAGGCACAGAUAAAUGGAUGCAUUCCAAUCCUUCUGAUCCAAAUAUAGAAAAGCAUCCUAUUAGAUUGGUCACCACAGGGUGAGUAUUAUCUAACUUCUCUCCACUGUAAGUAUAACAUAAAUGUAGGAAUGAUUGAACUUACGGAUUUAGAGUGUGAUGCUAAUUAAAUUACACGCACAACCAAAUUAUUUAUUUUUACUUUCAUAAUAGUAAGAUAUGACUUCUGAAGACUUUGUGGUAUGUUCUUGCGUGAUUUUUUUUUCAUAAAUGGGUCUUCAAUUUUGUUUUCAAACCUUUACAUGCCAUCAAUAGUUGUGGAGAUAUCUAUGCGUUUGGUGCUAAAUCGUCAUUUGGUGUGGCGAUCAUGACCAAUGGUAAUGUUUUAAUAGGCUGGAAACCUCCAUCAUUCGUCUAGCUACAAAUUUCAAACUAAUGUCAUAUAUGCGAGUGUCAGCAUCGUGGAAACACUGAGACCUAUUCUGUGAGAAAUAUGAAAUAUGUUUUGGAAAACAUGUGUCAUAAGUUAAUCAUGGGAAAAAAUAAAUCAAAAGAUAUCUUCUAUUCACGUUUUAUUUGUUUUGCUUAUAUACCUAACAAUCAGUGGCAUUUCUUUUUCUAUUUUUUUGCUUCCAUAAAUUUGAUGGGAAGUAGCCAAUGUAUAGUGUUGCUUCACUUACUAUGCUAUAAGCCUUUUUUUGGGCAUUAACUCUGCUGCCAAAGGCAUAUGUAAGCCUUAGAUAUAUGCACUAUAGAAGAAAUGUGGAAUGUUCUGUUAAAGCGUCACAACAUCAAUAAGAAUCUUGCACGCUGUUUAGAUGGUCGAUGGAGAGAUCAAGCAGACUUUUCCCACUAACUUUUUGUCGUCCGUGUCCAGUUUGACGCAGGCUGCCUCCGAACAGCAUGUUGCUUAUGUACAAAUCUUGGAAAAAACUAAUUCUGGAAGCAUCCUUUGAAUAUCAGUACAAACCGGUGCAAUUUUUUAGAUUGAUGUUUCCUAUUGCUCAUCAAUAUAGGUUGCUUUGCCUCUGUCUAUGGUGUUUUUUUUUCUGGAUGGAAUCAUCACCAAAAAAUUCAAAGCAGGUGAUUCUUCCCUUCAGAAUUUAUUCAUUCCCCCCUUAGCUUCCUGAAGAACCAUCAUGUAUCUUAUCCUAAUAGUUUGUGUAUAUAUGUUAAGAAAUGCAAUUCAAGGGACUCGACCAGUAAAAUGGAGUUUUGAUUGGGUAAUUUAAUUAUAGCCUUGAUUACCAUUGUCAAUUUUGUCGUGCAACAACUAACAAGGUAUUGGCUUGCAUACAUGCAAUUUUUAGCAAACAUUAUUCUUAGGAGGUCUCUAUACUUAUCAUUUAACUGCAACAAAGAAUUCAAGCGGCGCUGAUACAAUUGCUGAUCACUUGAUCUGAUGCUUUGCAGAGUAACCACUGAGAAUAUGAAAGAGAGCUUGCAAUUCCAUUCGUCAAUGUGCAGUGGCAGGGAACAAAUUUACAUUUUGUAGGUACGUUCUGGUUCAUACUUUCAUAAUUUGUCAUUGCUUUCCACUUUGUUUAUGCAGAUGUCUGUUCGAGCAAUGCAUUAGGAUAUUUCAUGCCCACAUAAUCACAAAAUAAUUUCUUUAAGAUUUCAUUUUCCAUUGCUUGUUUGGUAUUAAUAUGAUAACUGACAUAGACACACAACAAGCUAACAAUGACAUCAAGUUGUCGGCAGCGGCGACAUCAACGGAUGGAGGGUACGCCUGCUGCAGUGGACUUUGUCAUCUCAUCAACAUCCUCGCCCGUGACAGUACACGGAAGCUUUCUCUUGCUGUUGAAAUCUCUGAAGAAUUUUAUGGAAGGUUUAUUUGUCUCCUUCCACUCCAAAUUUCAAUUUGACAUUUUAUGAAUCUAACUCAAAACCACUUGUUUGUAGAUUGCAUCAAGGGGGAUAUAUUGGUUUUGAGGCACCAGCACUUUUUUGCUUAGGAGUAGUUUUGCUGCUUUGUUGAUAAGCAUACUGAAGGUAUUAUUUCUUUUUCACGACGAGGGCGGUGGCGGGGGUUGCUGCAGCUCCAGCGUGGCCCUGGAGCUCAUGGUGUGCCUCAUACUGUACCUCAACUACCUGUACGUCUGAUGGAGCAAAAGGGACGGUGUGCAUCGAACGGGGCCGGGUCGAUGAGGAAGAGGACCGGCAGAGGGGGCUCGACAAGGUGUCACAUUCAAAAGGCGCGGACGCAUGGUUGCGACAGCAAGGUCGGGGAGGAGUGUGCAGUCUACCUGGGUGCCAUGCAAGAUGGAUACGGCACGGUGGUCGGGCCGACAUGGAGCAUUCUCAUUAUUAUGGAAAAUGAUGGAUAGCAAAAUCCACAAGAUCACCAGCCGAGGGGGGAGGGUGGCUUGACAAGGCGGUGCUGGCAGCUAUGCCCAUGCCAGUGUUCAGAUUCAAGGGGGUCGCGCGAUGGCGCAAAGAUUGGUAGCCACUGCAUAUGUGUUGCUUCAUCAUCAUGCCUUGGAAGCAUGGGUGGCUUCCGCUGCUUGAUGGUUAGCCAUCCAGUACACAAUUAUUUUUUGUUAGCUUGUUUCAAUUGGAAGCAAUAAUUUUUUGCUAUGACUUCUAGAUUGUAAUCCUUCUUGACUUUUGAAUCAGUGAUAAGUGUAAUCCUACUUGACUUUGCAUCAGUGAUAAAUGAUUCAAUGAGUUUGUAAUUAAAUUCAUAGUUGGUGAUAUCUGGCAUGUGUACACAUAAAAACAUGGAAG
This 39293-nucleotide long non-coding RNA is filed under the name Triticum aestivum (bread wheat). Its description in RNAcentral is "long non-coding RNA (TAES_LNC000089)". The record is from RNAcentral. Lineage: Eukaryota; Viridiplantae; Streptophyta; Magnoliopsida; Poales; Poaceae.